GGGGGCGAUUCGGAUUCGACGCCGGUAUCAACUCCUGGGGUGCAUGCCGAGAGGGUAGUAACUCUCGCUAAUCAAUUACUGCAACUGAAUAGUUGCCAACGACAGAGAAUACGCUCUAGCCGCCUGAUCGCGGCUAGCGAUUGCCGACGGGAUGCCCGUAAACCGCCGAUUGCAAUCGUCGUAUAGAACGGGAUCGCAGCAAUACGCGCCUGGCGUUGCGCUGUUAAAUCCUUCCAGGCUCGCCCUGCUCGCCCUGCCCGUCGGGUAGAACAAGGGCUAACUCAAUAGACGACGCUAAGCAUGUAGAUCUUCAGGCCGCGAACUGACGGACGGGAGUUCAACUCUCCCCGCCUCCACCA
RNAcentral lists this transfer-messenger RNA (359 nucleotides) under Gammaproteobacteria bacterium. It matches the Rfam family "transfer-messenger RNA". From Rfam's summary of the family: Bacterial tmRNA, also known as 10Sa RNA or SsrA, is named for its dual tRNA and mRNA-like properties. Its role is to liberate the mRNA from a stalled ribosome. RNAcentral also lists the same sequence under 1 other name. Lineage: Bacteria; Pseudomonadati; Pseudomonadota; Gammaproteobacteria. The record is from RNAcentral.